RNAcentral lists this ribosomal RNA (378 nucleotides) under Photobacterium damselae. RNAcentral describes it as "bacterial SSU rRNA". It matches the Rfam family "Bacterial small subunit ribosomal RNA", at positions 1 to 364 of the family's 1533-position model. The record is from RNAcentral. Lineage: Bacteria; Pseudomonadati; Pseudomonadota; Gammaproteobacteria; Vibrionales; Vibrionaceae.
UUAAUUGAAGAGUUUGAUCAUGGCUCAGAUUGAACGCUGGCGGCAGGCCUAACACAUGCAAGUCGAGCGGCAGCGACUUAACUGAACCUUCGGGGAACGUUAAGGGCGGCGAGCGGCGGACGGGUGAGUAAUGCCUGGGAAUAUGCCCUGAUGUGGGGGAUAACUAUUGGAAACGAUAGCUAAUACCGCAUAAUCUCUUCGGAGCAAAGAGGGGGACCUUCGGGCCUCUCGCGUCAGGAUUAGCCCAGGUGGGAUUAGCUUGUUGGUGAGGUAAUGGCUCACCAAGGCAACGAUCCCUAGCUGGUCUGAGAGGAUGAUCAGCCACACUGGAACUGAGACACGGUCCAGACUCCUACGGGAGGCAGCAGUGGGGAAUAU